RNAcentral lists this microRNA precursor (79 nucleotides) under Lepisosteus oculatus (spotted gar). RNAcentral describes it as "miRNA (ENSLOCG00000019358.1)". The stretch from base 13 to 74 matches the Rfam family "mir-728 microRNA precursor family". Lineage: Eukaryota; Metazoa; Chordata; Actinopteri; Semionotiformes; Lepisosteidae. The record is from RNAcentral.
CAUUCCUUAGAAAAAUGUAGUAUACUAUAAGUGUACCUUCCACAUCAACAGUAUACUAAGUACACUACGUUUUCUUGAG